Molecule: RNA transcript, 5499 nt
Organism: Schistocerca gregaria
Lineage: Eukaryota; Metazoa; Arthropoda; Insecta; Orthoptera; Acrididae
Exons: 3
Source: RefSeq, a predicted model, not a curated record
AGAGACUCGAAAGACGACGUCAACGAAGCAAUGGCGGCGAGAGGUCUUGAAGAAGGACAUUGAAAUAACCGUGAACGAUGGAGAUUGGAAACCUAAAUCAAGAUCUCCUACUUCCAUAUCGGACAGAGCUGAUAUCGAGUGCCUGCAAGGGGAGACUGGCUACUGUCUGCAGUUUGUAGAGUGUAGCAAGCUCAUCUGCUGCUCUGAGGGUAAAGUCUCGACAUGAGAUCAUCUUAGAGCUCAUCUGCCAGUUUCACGGAGGUGAAGAAGUUGUCAGUCAUGAUGCUGCGUAAGGGCGAUGCAUCUGACAUCAGCUGCUGUGCAAGAGAACUGUUAGCAGUGCCCAGAUAGCAGUGUAGAAGGGGACGGGGGAUUCCCCACUGUAUAACAUGUUAUUCUGUAUCUUCAUAGUGUUACUCCAUAGGGCCGCAUGUCGUCAGUCCUUAGAAAACAGAAAGCCAUGCUGAUAUAAAGUAUCAUGCGAUCUCCGAAUAGUUUGUAUUUCACUUUCUUUUUGGCCGAAAGUAUCGUAAUACACCUGAACGACUCGCGAAUAACAUCGAGGGACACCCAGAAACUACUUAGUGUCUGAAAACUGGUGUUGCUUAGUAAAAAAUGACCCACACGGUACUACUAGUAUAACAGGUAAAUUUUUCAUACUUAUAGAUGAGCUAGAGGGAUGAUGGAAAAGUCAGGGGAGCUUUUGGUCCUGUGACGAUAUGGAGGGGGCGGCAGCCCUCGAAAAACCAUUGUGGGUCAAUAACCCACAUGGUACUUCUAGUGUUAAGGCUGUCACAAUAGUUCACGGGCAAACUGCCCGAUGUCAGUGUCGAACAGGUGCAAUAUUUCUGCAAACAACCACGUCGCCAUUACCAGGUGUGUUGAUAAACUAACUGAUAGGAGGCUGGCACUGUGCUUUUAUCUCCACUCCCUCGCCCUCCAAUUGGCCGCUCCGUCGACCGUCCACACAGUGUGCGUGCUGCCAGCACCUCUGAUGUUCCUCUACCUGCCCCCAAACUCAGUUUGAUGUCUGAGGUCUCUUUCCUCUUCUUGAGCAUUCUAGUAGCAGGGUCCUGUGCCUCAGUGAGGAUGUACCCACUAUCGAGAUUCAUCGAUGAUUCCAUUACUUGUAUCUCGACAGAUUCCUACAUGAUGCAGUGCCGGAAGUUGGACAUCUGUGUCAGAAAUUUGGUAUGGUCAUAAUCCAUUCCACGCAAUUCUGUGAGGCAACAUUCUGCAACUGCUGACUUACGAGGCUGCUGCAAUGUGAUGUCCCGUUGAUGUUCUCGGCACUGAUCUCCACAGUAUGCACUGUCUGACCUACAUACGUCUUACUGCAUUGACAGGGAAUCAGAUGGACCCUGGAUUUCCACAGUCUGAGGUUGCCUUCAUACUACUGACCAGUGCCCGUAUGUUAGCUGGUGGGCAGAAGACUGUCUUCACUCAGUGUUUCCGGAGAAUUCAUCCUAUCUUCCCAGAUAAAGUGCCACAAAAAGGAAUAUAUGCAAUGGCUGCAUCCUCCUGAGAAACAUCUUCUGGUUUCACGAGUUGUACAGAGGGCAUAGAACAUAGGGCUCUCCGAAAUUUCCACUUCUUGUAGCCACUCUUCCAAAAAAACUGCUGUCAGAUGUUAAAGUUCUUAGUCGAGGCAUUGAUUGGCAGACAGGGUUUGAGCCCUAUGUAGCAAAGUUUUGAGCACCCCACUUGUCUUAAUUGGCUGGUGGCAGCUGUCCACCUGUAAGUAUAGGUCUGUGUACACCUUUUAUGUUGCUAAUGUGAAUUGCACUAAAAAUUACACUUUGCAAUCUGCCAAAAACGUCCUCUUCUUAAUCUCUUUACCACCUGCUUAUAUAAAUGAAGUGUUUACAUUGCAUUAUUAACAUAAUAAUUUCUGUAAUUAGUACAUUUGAAAAAAUAACAUAGUUUAUGUGACAAAAUUAUUUUAAAAAAUUAGAGGCAAUAAAACUGGUUGUGAGUGACAGUAAAUAUAUGAACAUAAUGCUUUAGGCAUUUGGUGUUACGAAAAUCAUGUAUACAUAAGAUACGGAUCGUGUUCUUCAGAAGUAUUAUCUUACGACAUAUUGAUACAGUAAACUGCGGUCGAGUGCAGUAUCGGUAGAUUCCUAUUGUGUAUCCACAUUAAGUUACAUUUCAACAUCCGUAUCUCAUCACAGAAUGUGGAGGUCAGAAACUUGCCCAUUCUGUAAAGCACUGUGGCUGAUCUAAUGACAAAAUACAAUGUCAGUGCAGGCACACAUGGUUUGGAGCACACUGUUUAGCACACAUUGUUGAAUGUGGAGCUCUGCAGCAGAUGUCCCCUGCUGAGUCAAUGACACUGUCAAUUACAUCUGCAGUGGGGAUAUUAUCAUUAGAAUUGGACCACGCAUCAAUGGAAACACUUCACCCGGUCUGAUAGAUCGACGGUCGCAUUCGGACAUUGCACAUUAUGAAAGAACACAGGUGUGUGUGGCAGUAUUGUGCUCUGAGAGACAUGCACCUGGGGUUCUCUCAGACCUGUGGCAGUAAUCAAAGGUGCCGUGACAGCUUUCAACUACCUGAACAUUACUGUGGACCACUGUCUUAAUAUCUGAUGUGUUCCACAAGGGAGAUGGUAUUUGUCUGAGUCACACGGCCAGAAUCGUGCUACUGUGGUUUGAGAAGCAUGAUGGUAGGCUCAUGGUUAUAUAUUGGUCAUGAAAUUUGCCCGAUCUGAACCCAAGGAAUACAUCUAAAACUGGAUUUCCAGCAUGCUGGGAUGCUGAAUGGUCAGCACUUUCCCUUACUAUGUCAAUGUGACAAACAGCCAAAGAUGCAAAAUAGCUCUUUUUACACUCGAUUAAGACUAAUUUCGAGUUUUUAUUCUUAACCCAUUCUCAAGUCACACUGUGAAAUUACAGGCUAAAAUAACAAUUUGUUACAUAAAGUGCCAAAUAGUCAGUGUGUGUCACAAAGUACAUUGUCUAGCAUAUCAAAAUAUGUACAUUCCAAUCAGAAUUAAUAUUACUCCACACAGAAAAAAAGCAUGACAGCUGUUAUCCAAAUGAGUAGAAUGUAAGUGAUCAUGAAACAGAAUAAAAACAGGAACCAAUAGCCUAACUUGUCAGCACGAGGAAAUUUCCCUGCAGAUGGCACCCCUAUCGAAGAUGUAGGGAAGUCAUUAUUGCAUUCCAUAAACAUCAUCAAUACAACAAAAUAACAGAUACAGAGUGUAUAAGUCACGCCGCUAACAAAUUAUACAUCUUUCUUUAUACAGAGUCUCUUACAUUGAAAUAGGAGGGUAAACUAUUAAUAAGGCAACAUACAGUGCCACACUUGACUGUUAUAUCCACAGCACCAUGAUUCAUUGUCUGUGUUGACUUUGGUGCCAAAAUCCAGAUCAUUUUCUGACAUUUCUUUCAAUUCCCUGUACAUGUACAAACUAUUAUUUCUCUCACUGUCAGAAAGCACACACAGAAUGAAGUUUGCUGUUGUAUGUUUCAUCUUCAGUAAAAUUUAAUUGGUAUGAACUUCACAAUAUUCCAUUCUAUCCACCAAUUUACAGAUUGUUCCCCCACAAUCAAAUAUGAUCACAUCACAGACGUUUCAAUGUUUUCGUCUGUUCGGGAAGUCGACAGAUGUCCCAGUUGUGAUUUAUCUUCAAUUGACAUUUGAGCAAUUUUAAAAUGAGAAAACAACUCUUCAACCCUUGCCUGCCCAAAACUCCCUCCCAAUCAGCCAUCUGAAGCAUUGCGAUGGUUUCUGCUGCUGAUUUCCUCAACAGGAAAUGGAAUUCAACAUUACCAUUUAAUGUCUGCCACUGAAUAAUUCCCAAACAAGUGAAAGAAUUUUUAUAAAAACAAUCACACAGACCACAAUAACAUCUCCAGCAUAAUGCUGCUAGAGAAACUGAUACAGAAUGGUGUCCAGUGAAGGCAUCUAGCAGGGGAAUUUUGAACUAGUGUUCUAGUCACUGCUGGAGAAGAAUUCUUGUUUCUUUUGGGUCCCCCGGAUAUUCACAGAUUCUUCGCUUAAAAACACUUCUUGGAUUUCAAAUGGUAAUUGGCAUUUAUCUUCAAGCAUCUCCCAGUUGAGAAUUUUCCGGAUUUCCCUAAUGUUCUCCAUGAGUCGAACGAAACUAUCAUUCACGUUGGUCUUCCUAGCAUAAAUUCAAUAUCUUCUGUUAGUGCUCUUUGGUAUGUGUCACACACACUUGAGUGGUAUUCUAGAAUGGGGUCACAAAAGAGCACUGUAAGCAAUCACCUUUAUGGACUGUAUUUUUGCAGUAUCCUACUAAUGAACCGAAGUCUGUCACCUGGAUUGUUUAUAAAUGGGGCUAUGUGAUCAUUCCAUUUCAUAACUCCUCGAACUGUUAAACUCAGGUUUUAAUAAGAACUGAUUAGGGGCUCAUUUUCAUUAUGUUUUGUACCUGCUGAUAAAUACAAACAAUCUGAGUACUCAAUACCUACAAAUAUUCUGAGUGCCCGAUAUAAUUAGAAGAACAAGAUUACUUGAGACACUGACAAUUUUAAAAUUUUGAGUAAGUACAUUUUUUAAAUUUUGGGAAGACAUUUAAAAUUAUUCUUCUUAUUAACAUAACUAGUUCUGUAUUGUGAAAGGUAAAAAGAAAAUAUUUGUAACACAAACUAUUAAUCACUUACCGAUUUCUGUGAAUGUAAAAAACCUAUUUCUGAAACUAACAAUAAUAAGUAAAGUAUAGAUAGCUACUCACCACAUAGAGGAGAUGUCGAGUCACAGAUGAGCACAAUGAAAAAAUACUGCUAAAAUAUUUAAGCUUUCGUCAAUGUCCUCCAGAAGGACCUUGUUAGAAAGCUUAUGUAGUUUAGCAGUCUUUUUCAUUGUGUCUGAGACUCUUCCUUUAUUUUAUCUUUGAAAAUAAUUAUAUUAGUAAUUUGUAUAGUUGGUAAGUUUUUGCAUCUGUGGUUUUGUGUUUGUCUUAUCAGUCACAGUACAUUCUUGGUGCCUAGGGAAACAUGAUGGUUCACUUGUUUUGACAUACUUGUCAAGUUGUGGUACAAAAUGUAAGAUUACUGUAAAUAGGAUAGGUAUGAUUUAUAGUAAAUAUUAAUAUUAAAAACAGAAACUGAACCUAUUUAUUCUACCGCAACCAACAGAAAUAAAUAACGUUUCUAGGCAAUUGAGUGUACAUGAAGAAAAAACUACAAUGGACUUUGACAACAAAUUUAAGUUAAACUAAUUACAUCCGAUAAUUGUUAUCCCAGUAAUAUAGAGAUGUUUCCUCUAUUUUAUAGUGGUGCAGCAUAUUGGAGAAAAACAACCCAAAUCAAAUUGUUGUGAAUGAGGUUUGGGAAGACAUUUUUAUAAUUUUAUGCAAUUCAAAGUCAUUAAAAGUGGAAAACAUUAUAUAAUAUUUGAAUGACUUGGCUGAUCCAAGUGUGACUCACUGAUAUUGUAGUAUUAUGAUACCAUACUAUGUUUUAAGGUUUUGUCAAAUGUACAGGUUUACAUGUCUGAACAUUUAAAUCAAGUUGCCAACUUCUG